RNAcentral lists this ribosomal RNA (379 nucleotides) under uncultured bacterium. RNAcentral describes it as "partial 16S ribosomal RNA". It matches the Rfam family "Bacterial small subunit ribosomal RNA", at positions 338 to 734 of the family's 1533-position model. The record is from RNAcentral.
CCUACGGGUGGCUGCAGUGGGGAAUAUUGCACAAUGGGGGAAACCCUGAUGCAGCGACGCCGCGUGUGUGAAGAAGUAAUUCGUUACGUAAAGCUCUAUCAGCAGGGAAGAAGAUGACGGUACCUGAGUAAGAAGCCCCGGCUAACUCCGUGCCAGCAGCCGCGGUAAUACGUAGGGGGCAAGCGUUAUCCGGAUUUACUGGGUGUAAAGGGAGCGCAGACGGUGCGGCAAGUCAGGAGUGAAAUGCCGGGGGUUAACUGCGGAACUGCUUUGGAAACUGGCGAGCUAGAGUGCAGGAGGGGGAGGCGGAAUGCCAAGUGUAGCGGUGAAAUGCGUAGAUAUUAGGAGGAACACCGGUGGCGAAGGCGGCCUACUGGAC